AGAACGAACGCUGGCGGCAUGCCUAAUACAUGCAAGUCGAACGAACUCUUCGGAGUUAGUGGCGCACGGGUGCGUAACGCGUGGGAAUCUGCCCCUUGGUUCGGAAUAACAGUUGGAAACGACUGCUAAUACCGGAUGAUGACGAAAGUCCAAAGAUUUAUCGCCAAGGGAUGAGCCCGCGUAGGAUUAGCUAGUUGGUGAGGUAAAGGCUCACCAAGGCAACGAUCCUUAGCUGGUCUGAGAGGAUGAUCGAGCCACACGUGGGACU
This 268-nucleotide ribosomal RNA is filed under the name uncultured soil bacterium. Its description in RNAcentral is "partial 16S ribosomal RNA". It matches the Rfam family "Bacterial small subunit ribosomal RNA", at positions 26 to 320 of the family's 1533-position model. The record is from RNAcentral.